CAGUCGAGGGGCAGCAUUUUAGUUUGCUUGCAAACUAAAGAUGGCGACCGGCGCACGUNUGAGUAACACGCUAUCCAACCUGCCGAUAACUCGGGGAUAGCCUUUCGAAAGAAAGAUUAAUAUCCGAUAGUAUAUUAAAACCGCAUGGUUUUACUAUUAAAGAAUUUCGGUUAUCGAUGGGGAUGCGUUCCAUUAGUUUGUUGGCGGGGUAACGGCCCACCAAGACUACGAUGGAUAGGGGUUCUGAGAGGAAGGUCCCCCACAUUGGAACUGAGACACGGUCCAAACUCAUACGGGAGGCAGCAGUGAGGAAUAUUGGUCAAUGGACGAGAGUCUGAACCAGNCCAAGUAGCGUGAAGGAUGACUGCCCCUAUGGGUUGUAAAACUUCUUUUAUAUGGGAAUAAAGUAUUCCACGUGUGGGNAUUUUGUAUGUACCAUAUGAAUAAGGAUCGGCUAACUCCGUGCCAGCAGCCGCGGUAAUACGGAGGAUCCGAGCGUUAUCCGGAUUUAUUGGGUUUAAAGGGAGCGUAGGUGGAUUGUUAAGUCAGUUGUGAAAGUUUGCGGCUCAACCGUAAAAUUGCAGUUGAAACUGGCAGUCUUGAGUACAGUAGAGGUGGGCGGAAUUCGUGGUGUAGCGGUGAAAUGCUUAGAUAUCACGAAGAACUCCGAUUGCGAAGGCAGCUCACUAGACUGCAACUGACACUGAUGCUCGAAAGUGUGGGUAUCAAACAGGAUUAGAUACCCUGGUAGUCCACACAGUAAACGAUGAAUACUCGCUGUUUGCGAUAUACAGUAAGCGGCCAAGCGAAAGCAUUAAGUAUUCCACCUGGGGGAGUACGCCGGCAACGGUGAAACUCAAAGGAAUUGACGGGGGCCCGCACAAGCGGAGGAACAUGUGGUUUAAUUCGAUGAUACCCGAGGAACCUUACCCGGGCUUAAAUUGCAUUUGAAUAAUCUGGAAACAGGUUAGCCGCAAGGCAAAUGUGAAGGUGCUGCAUGGUUGUCGUCAGCUCGUGCCGUGAGGUGUCGGCUUAAGUGCCAUAACGAGCGCAACCCUUAUCUUUAGUUACUAACAGGUCAUGCUGAGGACUCUAGAGAGACUGCCGUCGUAAGAUGUGAGGAAGGUGGGGAUGACGUCAAAUCAGCACGGCCCUUACGUCCGGGGCUACACACGUGUUACAAUGGGGGGUACAGAAGGCAGCUACCUGGCGACAGGAUGCUAAUCCCAAAAACCUCUCUCAGUUCGGAUCGAAGUCUGCAACCCGACUUCGUGAAGCUGGAUUCGCUAGUAAUCGCGCAUCAGCCAUGGCGCGGUGAAUACGUUCCCGGGCCUUGUACACACCGCCCGUCAAGCCAUGAAAGCCGGGGGUACCUGAAGUACGAACCGCAGGAGCUCUAGG
Molecule: ribosomal RNA, 1401 nt
Filed under: bacterium NLAE-zl-G182
Lineage: Bacteria
Description: bacterial SSU rRNA
Rfam family: Bacterial small subunit ribosomal RNA
Source: RNAcentral